CCAAGUGGUGGAAUUGGUAGACACGCUAUCUUGAGGGGGUAGUGGCGUAAGCCGUGCCGGUUCAAGUCCGGCCUUGGGCACCA
This 83-nucleotide transfer RNA is filed under the name Gammaproteobacteria bacterium. Its description in RNAcentral is "tRNA-Leu". It matches the Rfam family "tRNA". From Rfam's summary of the family: Transfer RNA (tRNA) molecules are approximately 80 nucleotides in length. Their secondary structure includes four short double-helical elements and three loops (D, anti-codon, and T loops). Lineage: Bacteria; Pseudomonadati; Pseudomonadota; Gammaproteobacteria. The record is from RNAcentral.